GUCAGUUUGGGUGGUGCCAAGCUUUAAUCCAGCUACUGGAGAUUCUGAGGCAAGUGAGUCUCAAGCUCAGGAGUUCAUACCUGCAUUGGGUUAUGCCAAUAGGGUGUCCAGUAAGUUUGGCAUCAAUAUGGGGAGUCCCCAGGAGUGGGGGCUACCAAGUUGCCUAAGGAAUGGUGAAUUAGCCCAGAUCAGAAAUUGAGUAGAUCAAAACUCCUUUACUAAUCAGAAGUGGGAUCUGGUCUAUAAGUAACUCCUUCAUUUCCAGCCUGGAAGAAAUAAGGAGAUGCCAUCUUU
This 294-nucleotide signal recognition particle RNA is filed under the name Phascolarctos cinereus (koala). Its description in RNAcentral is "Metazoan signal recognition particle RNA (ENSPCIG00000013478.2)". It matches the Rfam family "Metazoan signal recognition particle RNA". From Rfam's summary of the family: The signal recognition particle (SRP) is a universally conserved ribonucleoprotein. It is involved in the co-translational targeting of proteins to membranes. Lineage: Eukaryota; Metazoa; Chordata; Mammalia; Diprotodontia; Phascolarctidae. The record is from RNAcentral.